AAAAGAAAAGAAAUAGAAUAGAAACAGAGAAGCAAAAACGAAAAAGAACGGAGAAAAGAAAGGAGGAGAAAUUAGGAUUUUCAAGUUCAAAGCUCAAUUGUUUGUUUUCGGUGCGCAGGUUAGGUUAAAGUUAGACUGACGAUUCAACAUCCAUCAGAGAUCUGGAACUCAAAACGUGGUGAAGUAUACUUCUUUUUGGCAAUGGCAUGUACCUAGGAUGUUUUAUGUUAAUCAUUUUGAAAAAUGAUUGUAAAUGAUGUUAAAGAUGAUAUUGGUUGCUUAUAUAUAUAUGAUAUGUUGAGGUUUAAUAUGGGAUGUAUGAGUAAAUGCAUAAGUAAGUAUGAUAUAGGCAUAUUUGAGUUGUAAUUGACAUGAUUUUAGAGUAAGAUUGAAUGAAGUUUUAAUGGAUUGUUUUGAGAAUA
Molecule: long non-coding RNA, 422 nt
Organism: Gossypium arboreum
Lineage: Eukaryota; Viridiplantae; Streptophyta; Magnoliopsida; Malvales; Malvaceae
Exons: 2
Source: RefSeq, a predicted model, not a curated record